Molecule: ribosomal RNA, 253 nt
Filed under: uncultured bacterium
Lineage: Bacteria
Description: partial 16S ribosomal RNA
Rfam family: Bacterial small subunit ribosomal RNA
Source: RNAcentral
UACGGGGGGGGUAAGCGUUGUUCGGAAUUACUGGGCGUAAAGGGCUCGUAGGCGGCCAACUAAGUCGGACGUGAAAUCCCUCAGCUUAACUGGGGAACUGCGUCCGAUACUGGAUGGCUUGGAUUUGGGAGAGGGAUGCGGAAUUCCAGGUGUAGCGGUGAAAUGCGUAGAUAUCGAGAGGAACACCGGUGGCGAAGGCGGAUCUCUGGGCCGAUACUGACGCUGAGGUGCGAAAGCGUGGGGAGCGAACAGG